AGUAACUACUGUUGAUUCAGGCUCAAAGGCUUUAGAGUUUCUGGGUUUAAGACAAGGUAUUGAGAGUAAUGAUCCAAAUGCACUUUCUACGGCUCCUGUAAAUCACCAGGAAGUUGAAGUCAAUCUUAUAAUUACUGAUUAUUGUAUGCCAGGCAUGACUGGUUUUGAUUUGCUCAAGAAAGUCAAGGAAUCAUCAGCUUUCAAGAACAUACCAGUAGUUA
Non-coding RNA from Camelina sativa (false flax), 221 nucleotides. The record is from RefSeq and is a predicted model, not a curated record. Lineage: Eukaryota; Viridiplantae; Streptophyta; Magnoliopsida; Brassicales; Brassicaceae.